GAUGAACGCUGGCGGCGUGCUUAACACAUGCAAGUCGAACGGGAAAUCUUUCAUUGAGACUUCGGUGGAUUUGAUUUAUUUCUAGUGGCGGACGGGUGAGUAACGCGUGGGUAACCUGCCUUAUACAGGGGGAUAACAGUCAGAAAUGGCUGCUAAUACCGCAUAAGCGCACAGAGCUGCAUGGCUCAGUGUGAAAAACUCCGGUGGUAUAAGAUGGACCCGCGUUGGAUUAGCUAGUUGGUGGGGUAGCGGCCCACCAAGGCGACGAUCCAUAGCCGGCCUGAGAGGGUGAACGGCCACAUUGGGACUGAGACACGGCCCAGACUCCUACGGGAGGCAGCAGUGGGGAAUAUUGCACAAUGGGGGAAACCCUGAUGCAGCGACGCCGCGUGAAGGAAGAAGUAUCUCGGUAUGUAAACUUCUAUCAGCAGGGAAGAUAGUGACGGUACCUGACUAAGAAGCCCCGGCUAACUACGUG
RNAcentral lists this ribosomal RNA (478 nucleotides) under uncultured bacterium. Its description in RNAcentral is "partial 16S ribosomal RNA". It matches the Rfam family "Bacterial small subunit ribosomal RNA", at positions 28 to 507 of the family's 1533-position model. The record is from RNAcentral.